Molecule: ribosomal RNA, 478 nt
Filed under: uncultured bacterium
Lineage: Bacteria
Description: bacterial SSU rRNA
Rfam family: Bacterial small subunit ribosomal RNA
Source: RNAcentral
UAGUCCACGCCGUAAACGAUGUCUACUAGCCGUUGGGAGACUUGAUUUCUUAGUGGCGCAGCUAACGCACUAAGUAGACCGCCUGGGGAGUACGGCCGCAAGGUUAAAACUCAAAUGAAUUGACGGGGGCCCGCACAAGCGGUGGAGCAUGUGGUUUAAUUCGAUGCAACGCGAAGAACCUUACCAGGUCUUGACAUCCUGAAAACUUUCUAGAGAUAGAUUGGUGCCUUCGGGAAUUCAGUGACAGGUGCUGCAUGGCUGUCGUCAGCUCGUGUCGUGAGAUGUUGGGUUAAGUCCCGUAACGAGCGCAACCCUUGUCCUUAGUUGCCAGCACAUAAUGGUGGGAACUCUAGACAGACUGCCGCGUUGAAGCAGGAGGAAGGUGGGGGACGACGUCAAGUCAUCAUGGGCCCUUAUGGGUCUGGGGCUACACACGUCCUACAAUGGUCGGUACAGAGGGCUGCGAAACCGCGAGGGU